CUGAGAAACUGUUGGUGUCCUCUUAUCGCUGCCGGGGCCGGUCCGUGAGUCAUUUGGUACCUAGCCGCGAGAGUUGAGACUCAGGGAAUACAUAUGACCUACCAACAUUAAAAAUAACCACAGCGUGAAUGAAGAGGAGACAGGAAGUAAAGAAGAUAGACAUUUGUCUUUGACAAGUACAACAGAGUUCGCAAGUUGCAGUUGUGACAAGAUGAGAAGGAAAACCAGAACAAAAGGCGAUGAUUGAUCACAAAUUAUUCAACAUUUCUCUAUUUUUGUUGCUUCUUUAUUCAGGAGCACUUAGUGAAGAUCUUCCGCUUGCCUUCACUGUCAGAGAUGGAGAUAAAGUCACUUUGCCUUGUAAAAAUCGGUUCAACAUUCAUCACAACUGUGACACUAUCACCUGGAUCUUCAGAGAUUCAAGAGGCACACCAGCAGUAGAGCUGGUUAAUCUUGGACAAAUCAAAGAAGAAGCCAAAUCAGACAGACUGAGUGUUACAGCAGAAUGCUCACUGGUUAUAAAGAAGGUCACAGCUGAGGAUGUUGGUCGUUACACCUGCAGACAGUUUAGAGGCAAUCCAGGGAGACAGCAAGGUCCAGAUGCUGUGGUUUAUCUGUCUGUUGUCGUCAUGACCGAAAAGAAGAACGCUGAUGAGGUGACUUUAAGCUGCUCUGUGUUGACAUUUGAUCAGUGUAGACACAAAGUGAAGUGGAUCCAUAACAGAAGAGAUCUGGAUAGAGAUUACUCAAAUUUAAAAACAUCACAGUCUUCCUGCUCUGCUACUGUGACAUUUCUGAACCUUACAUAUGGUCACAUAUCAAGUUCUGACUUUAAGUGUAGCUUAAAAAGAACAGAAAAUAACAAAGAGCAGCUUUUUACCUUCAGCCAUCAUUCAUCAGGUGAAGAAACAAAUACAGCAACAACAGUUAAAUUAGACACAGUGACUACAAUAAAAGUGCUGGAAAUGGAUGGUUCAACAAACUUACCAGAAAUAUAUGCAGCAGCAACAAUUAAAUUGGAAAUAAUGACUGAAUCUGGCAUUAAAGGAGGUCUGACAACAAAACAGCUGGAAAUCAUGAAUGGUUUGAGAAAAUUACCAGACUGGUCCUGGUACAGGCUUGCCAUUGUGGCCCUGGGUUUAGUAGCACUUAUAGCAGCUGUUGUUGUCGUCAGCAUCUGGAUAAGAGCUGGGAAAAAAGCACAGAUGGAUGAAAACAUGGCUGAUCUUCAAGAUGUUGUUCUCUACACCUCCCUCAGCUACACUGAGACCACCUACAGCUGUCCAGGUCUUCAGGUUCCCUAUAAAGAAGAUGAAGAAGGUGAAGCUUUGACCUACAUUAUAUGUUCAGUCUCUUCUCCUGGACCUGCUCCCAGCAACCUCUAUGCUAGCAUCAACAAACCAAAAGACUAAAAAACAGGAAAAAACACAGAAUCUCUUUUUCUUUGAUAACUUCUUUCUUUCUUUCCAUUCUUGUGUAAUGAAAGAGGGUUUCUGUUUUGUUAAAGUUCCCAGGAUUUAACAACAGUGAUAAUAUAAUCUGUAUUUUAAUUUUUAAUUUCUAACCCAGAAUGUUGCACUAUAUUUUUUCAUAGAUUGUUUAUUGCUUUAUCAGUGUACAUAUAUGUGUUUGUAUAUCUGCAGUUUAGGCCUGAUGAUUUUAUGAUAUUAAAAAGUGUUUUUCCAUUAUGUAAAAUCCCAAGCAGCCAAUAAAGGCUCCAGCACGUGAGUUUUAUUGUCAU
This is a long non-coding RNA of Astatotilapia calliptera (eastern happy), 1741 nucleotides long. NCBI's taxonomy places the organism in Eukaryota, Metazoa, Chordata, Actinopteri, Cichliformes, Cichlidae. The record is from Ensembl.